UUUAUAAUUUUUUGACAUCAUUUGGCUAGUGAUCAAAAUGUCUCAAAAUUGACAAUUUUAACGGUAGAUGUGAUGCGUUUGUGAAUUUAAUAGUAUAAAACAAUCGAAAUCUGAUGAAAUUUUUAUAGAAAAUUCUUUUCACUAUUUAGAGUAAGUUCAGUACUUCUGAUCUUAAAUUCAAGUUUUUUAUCAUCAUAUUUUAUGAGAUUUUUAUUUUCAGCCGUUCAUUUUUAGCCUACUCGUUUGAUAGGUAAAUGAUGCGGAAAAAUUAUAAAAUUUAGUUUCCAAAUACUUUCAAUAGUGUAGAUCAAGUCUAACGGAGCCAAUCGUCGAUUUGGAAGAUGCAUCAUUGAAAACAACUUGGUAGCACGGAGGCCUCCGUACUACCAAUAGUAUACCAGCCUAGCUCCAUAAUGUAUACAAUUUUGACUUUUCAU
Molecule: long non-coding RNA, 437 nt
Filed under: Ananas comosus (pineapple)
Lineage: Eukaryota; Viridiplantae; Streptophyta; Magnoliopsida; Poales; Bromeliaceae
Description: long non-coding RNA (ACOM_LNC029107)
Source: RNAcentral